RNAcentral lists this long non-coding RNA (1469 nucleotides) under Setaria italica (foxtail millet). RNAcentral describes it as "long non-coding RNA (SITA_LNC003269)". The record is from RNAcentral. Lineage: Eukaryota; Viridiplantae; Streptophyta; Magnoliopsida; Poales; Poaceae.
GCCGGACUGCCAGCAGAGCGUGAUGAUCGGGAUCAACGGUAAGUUCCCCGGGCCGACGAUCACCGCAAACGCCGGCGACGUGAUCAGCGUCGAGGUGACGAACAACCUGCACACUGAGGGGAUCGUCAUCCACUGGCAUGGAAUUAAACAGGUGAUUGCAUCUAUAAAUUAAAGUCUAUAAAACCUUAUCAUGCAAAACGAACUUACUGUUAAAAGCCAUUUAACGAGACAACAACGUGGGUAUGUUGGAAGGAUAACAACAUGUUAGCAUGCAUCCAAAAUGUGCAGAUCGGGACACCAUGGGCUGAUGGGACCGCGUCGAUUUCCCAGUGCCCCAUCGAGUCAGGGGGGAACUUCACCUACGAGUUCCUAGUUGACAAGGUAAUCACAAAUCAACCGCUCUCCAAAUCGAUAAAACAUUUUACCUCCAGCUAGUCUUGACUGAUUCGUGGUGAACGGAAACGUUCGUCGUCGUUGCAGCCGGGAACUUUCUUCUACCACGGCCACUUCGGGAUGCAGAGGGCGGCGGGGCUCUACGGCUCGCUCAUCGUGAACGCCACGGACAAGCAGCCGGAGCCCUUCGCCGCCGAUUACGACGGCGAGCACAGCAUGCUUCUCAGCGACUGGUACCACGAGAACGUCUACGCGCAGGCGGCCGGGCUCGACGGCAAGGACAAGCACUGGCAGUGGGUCGGCGAGCCCCAGGUGAUCCUAGCUAUUUAACUAUCCUUCCCAGUGAUUUCGUAACUCGCCUUCUCACUGAAUGCCUGAAUAAUGUAAGUACUGACGCCCGUAUGCCGCCGCAGACGUUGCUCAUCAACGGGAGGGGCCAGUUCGGGUGCUCUCUGGGGAUCACCCGUGACCGCAGGGCCUGCGACAGGAGGAAGAAGGACGCGUUCUGCCCGGAGGGCGACAAGAGCGAGCGGUGCGAGAUGAUCCGGAGAAGCGAGUGCGGGCCCUUCUGCGAGGGCACCAAGUGCUCGCCGGUGGCCUUCGACGUCGAGCCGGGGAAGACGUACAGGCUCAGGAUCGCCAGCACCACCUCCCUCUCCGCUCUCAACGUGCAGGUCCAAGGUCACAAGCUCACGGUGGUGGAAGCGGACGGCAACUUCGUGGAGCCGUUCGAGGUCACCGACAUCGACAUCUACUCCGGCGAGAGCUACUCCGUGCUCCUCAAGACGGACCAGCGACCAUCAUCCUACUGGAUCUCCGUGGGCGUGAGAGGGCGAAGACCCAAGACGCAGCCGGCCCUGGCCAUCCUAAACUACACCAACAGCAAACCCGACAGCUGGCCGUCGGGCGUGACCCCGGAGACCCCGGCCUGGGACAACGUGACGCGCAGCAAGGAGUUCACGUACCGGAUCAAGGCCCGGGCCGGCACCGCCCGGCCGCCGGCGGCCGUGGACCGUCGCAUCACCAUGCUCAACACGCAGAACAGGUUCAAGGGGCACAUCAAGUGGGCCAUCAAC